This 447-nucleotide ribosomal RNA is filed under the name uncultured bacterium. Its description in RNAcentral is "partial 16S ribosomal RNA". It matches the Rfam family "Bacterial small subunit ribosomal RNA", at positions 29 to 523 of the family's 1533-position model. The record is from RNAcentral.
AGCGAACGCUGGCGGCAGGCUUAACACAUGCAAGUCGAGCGCCCCGCAAGGGGAGCGGCAGACGGGAGAGUAACACGUGGGUACGUACCCUUCAGUUCGGAACAACCCAGGGAAACUUGGGCUAAUACCGGAUACGUCCGAAAGGAGAAAGAUUUAUCGCUGAAGGAUCGGCCCGCGUCUGAUUAGCUAGUUGGUGAGGUAACGGCUCACCAAGGCGACGAUCAGUAGCUGGUCUGAGAGGAUGAUCAGCCUCAUUGGGACUGAGACACGGCCCAAACUCCUACGGGAGGCAGCAGUGGGGAAUAUUGGACAAUGGGCGCAAGCCUGAUCCAGCCAUGCCGCGUGGGUGAUGAAGGCCCUAGGGUUGUAAAGCUCCUUUACCCGGGAUGAUAAUGACAGUACCGGGAGAAUAAGCUCCGGCUAACUCCGUGCCAGCCGCCGCCGUAA